RNAcentral lists this ribosomal RNA (513 nucleotides) under uncultured bacterium. RNAcentral's name for it is "bacterial SSU rRNA". It matches the Rfam family "Bacterial small subunit ribosomal RNA", at positions 997 to 1509 of the family's 1533-position model. The record is from RNAcentral.
UUUCCAGAGAUGGAUUGGUGCCUUCGGGAACUCUGAGACAGGUGCUGCAUGGCUGUCGUCAGCUCGUGUUGUGAAAUGUUGGGGUUAAGUCCCGCAACGAGCGCAACCCUUAUCCUUUGUUGCCAGCGGUUAGGCCGGGAACUCAAAGGAGACUGCCAGUGAUAAACUGGAGGAAGGUGGGGAUGACGUCAAGUCAUCAUGGCCCUUACGAGUAGGGCUACACACGUGCUACAAUGGCGCAUACAAAGAGAAGCGACCUCGCGAGAGCAAGCGGACCUCAUAAAGUGCGUCGUAGUCCGGAUUGGAGUCUGCAACUCGACUCCAUGAAGUCGGAAUCGCUAGUAAUCGUGGAUCAGAAUGCCACGGUGAAUACGUUCCCGGGCCUUGUACACACCGCCCGUCACACCAUGGGAGUGGGUUGCAAAAGAAGUAGGUAGCUUAACCUUCGGGAGGGCGCUUACCACUUUGUGAUUCAUGACUGGGGUGAAGUCGUAACAAGGUAAGCGUAGUGCU